RNAcentral lists this ribosomal RNA (662 nucleotides) under Psychromonas sp. FS5-4. RNAcentral describes it as "bacterial SSU rRNA". It matches the Rfam family "Bacterial small subunit ribosomal RNA", at positions 586 to 1247 of the family's 1533-position model. Lineage: Bacteria; Pseudomonadati; Pseudomonadota; Gammaproteobacteria; Alteromonadales; Psychromonadaceae. The record is from RNAcentral.
AGUCAGAUGUGAAAUCCCAGGGCUCAACCUUGGAACUGCAUUUGAAACUGGUUAACUAGAGUUUUGUAGAGGGUGGUAGAAUUUCAGGUGUAGCGGUGAAAUGCGUAGAGAUCUGAAGGAAUACCAGUGGCGAAGGCGGCCACCUGGACAAAGACUGACACUGAGGCGCGAAGGCGUGGGGAGCAAACGGGAUUAGAUACCCCGGUAGUCCACGCAGUAAACGAUGUCUAUUAGAAUUUUGUGGCUAUAUGCCGUGGGAUUCAAAGCUAACGCAUUAAAUAGACCGCCUGGGGAGUACGGCCGCAAGGUUAAAACUCAAAUGAAUUGACGGGGGCCCGCACAAGCGGUGGAGCAUGUGGUUUAAUUCGAUGCAACGCGAAGAACCUUACCAUCCCUUGACAUCCAGAGAAUCUGUUAGAGAUAGUAGAGUGCCUUCGGGAACUCUGAGACAGGUGCUGCAUGGCUGUCGUCAGCUCGUGUUGUGAAAUGUUGGGUUAAGUCCCGCAACGAGCGCAACCCUUAUCCUUAUUUGCCAGCGGGUUAUGCCGGGAACUCUAGGGACACUGCCGGUGAUAAACCGGAGGAAGGUGGGGACGACGUCAAGUCAUCAUGGCCCUUACGGGAUGGGCUACACACGUGCUACAAUGGCAAAUACAAAGGGC